ACUCCUACGGGUGGCAGCAGCAGGGAAUCUUGCGCAAUGGGCUAAAAGGCCUGACGCAGCGACACCGCGUGGGGGAUGAAGGCUUUAGGGUUGUAAACCCCUUUUCUCGGGGAAGAGUGAGGACGGUACCCGAGGAAUAAGCCUCGGCUAACUACGUGCCAGCAGCCGCGGUAACACGUAGGAGGCGAGCGUUGUCCGGAUUUACUGGGCGUAAAGGGCGAGUAGGCGGCCCGCCAAGUCUCAUGUGAAAUCUCCCGGCUCAACUGGGAGGGGUCAUGGGAAACUGGCGAGCUUGAGGUCAGCAGAGGAAAGUGGAAUUCCCGGAGUAGCGGUGAAAUGCGUAGAUACCGGGAGGAACAUCAGAGGCGAAGGCGACUUUCUGGGCUGCACCUGACGCUGAGGCGCGAAAGCAUGGGGAGCAAACCGGAUUAGAUACCCGGGUAGUCCAUGCCCUAAACGAUGGAUACUAGGUAUGGGGGGUAUCGACCCCCUCCGUGCCGUAGCUAACGCGUUAAGUAUCCCGCCUGGGGAGUACGGCCGCAAGGCUAAAACUCAAAGGAAUUGACGGGGGCCCGCACAAGCAGCGGAGCGUGUGGUUUAAUUCGAUGAUGAGCGAAGAACCUUACCAGGGCUUGACAUGCUUCUGAAAUCCACCGAAAGGUGGCCCUCCUUCGGGACAGAUGCACAGAUGUUGCAUGGCUGUCGUCAGCUCGUGCCGUGAGAU
RNAcentral lists this ribosomal RNA (724 nucleotides) under uncultured endophytic bacterium. RNAcentral describes it as "bacterial SSU rRNA". It matches the Rfam family "Bacterial small subunit ribosomal RNA", at positions 335 to 1073 of the family's 1533-position model. The record is from RNAcentral.